RNAcentral lists this ribosomal RNA (439 nucleotides) under uncultured bacterium. Its description in RNAcentral is "partial 16S ribosomal RNA". It matches the Rfam family "Bacterial small subunit ribosomal RNA", at positions 338 to 795 of the family's 1533-position model. The record is from RNAcentral.
CCUACGGGGGGCAGCAGUAGGGAAUAUUGCUCAAUGGGGGAAACCCUGAAGCAGCAACACCGCGUGCAGGAUGAAGGUUUUCGGAUUGUAAACUCCUGUUGUUAGAGAAGAUAAUGACGGUAUCUAACGGAUAAGCACCGGCUGACUCCGUGCCAGCAGCCGCGGUAAUACUGAGGGUGCAAGCGUUACUCGGAAUCACUGGGCGGAAAGAGCGCGUAGGCGGAUUGGAAAGUCAGCGGUAAAAUCGCGAGGCUCAACCUCUUUUCGCCGUUGAAACUGUCGGUCUUGAGUGGGCGAGAAGUAUGCGGAAGGCGAUGUGUAGCGGUGAAAUGCAUAGAUAUAACGCAGAACUCCGAUGGCGAAGGCAGCAUACCGGCGCCCGACUGACGCUGAGGCACGAAAGCGUGGGUAGCGAACAGGAUUAGAUACCCUGGUAGUC